Molecule: ribosomal RNA, 606 nt
Filed under: Mycoplasma wenyonii
Lineage: Bacteria; Bacillati; Mycoplasmatota; Mollicutes; Mycoplasmatales; Mycoplasmataceae
Description: bacterial SSU rRNA
Rfam family: Bacterial small subunit ribosomal RNA
Source: RNAcentral
UACGAAAAGUUCUGAUGGAGCAAUACCACGUGAACGAAGAAGGUCUUCUGAUUGUAAAGUUCUUUUAUUUAGGAAAAAAAGCGCGCUAGGAAAUGAGCGCGCCUUGAUGGUACUAAUUGAAUAAGUGACAGCUAACUAUGUGCCAGCAGCUGCGGUAAAACAUAGGUCACGAGCAUUAUCCGGAUUUAUUGGGCGUAAAGGAAGCGUAGGUGGAGAGGUUGAUCCAUUGUUAAAGGCAUUUGCUUAACAAAUGUGUGCGAUGGAGAUCGCCUCCCUAGAGUUAAUCAGGGGGUACUGGAAUUCAAUGUGUAGCGGUGGAAUGCGUAGAUAUAUUGAGGAACACCAGAGGCUAAGGCGAGUACCUAGGAUAUAACUGACACUGAGGCUUGAAAGCGUGGGGAGCAAAUGGGAUUAGAUACCCCAGUAGUCCACGCCGUAAACGAUGGGCAUUAGGUAUUUGACAUCUGGUCGAGUGCUGUAACUAACGCGUUAAAUGCCCCGCCUGGGUAGUAUAUAUGCAAAUAUGAAACUCAAAGAAAUUGACGGGGACCUGAACAAGUGGCGGAGCAUGUAGCUUAAUUCAAUAAUACACCACCAACUAAAACC